ACUGCACCUUUUUUCCUUUCUAUUUUCCGUGUUGUUCUUCUCCUAUCUCUAAUAGUCUUGUUCACGAAUAUUCAAUACCUUCUCUGCUGAAAUUCCCCUCUUCUUUAUUCUCUGUCAACACAACUUCCAUGGAACAAAGCCAUCUCACUAGCUACCACCACGUGACUCUAGAGCCUUCACUUGCCUCACUCCAACUUCUCUAAGUGGAGUGAACUCUUCAUUAUUCGUUCGCACAUUGUUGCAGCUCAGAGAAAGAAAGAAAAAAAACGACAAGGGGUGCGGAGCGAAAGUGCUGGGGAAUCAGUUCUGAAAAUCCAAUUGGAAUUACGUUGAUUCAUGUCAUGGUUAUGUUGAAAAUCGUUACUACUCUUGUAUUGGUGGUAGUAAUGAUAGCGUAGCUUCAUGUCGACAUUAUUCACAAGAUCAUAAACAAAGAUUGAGAUUGAAGAUGUUGUCCUCACUAGGAGUAAACGUAUGAAAGAUAUAAAAACUAGUAGAUGAAUGAUGAAAAAGCUUGUAAACAAAAUGUCUAAGUUGAUGUAUGAGUAUUUGUCUAUAUUCUUUACACUUA
Cajanus cajan (pigeon pea) is the source of this 571-nucleotide long non-coding RNA. RefSeq lists it as uncharacterized. The record is from RefSeq and is a predicted model, not a curated record. NCBI's taxonomy places the organism in Eukaryota, Viridiplantae, Streptophyta, Magnoliopsida, Fabales, Fabaceae.